GGAGCUGUGGUGUAGAGGCCUAACAUGCCUGCCUGUCACGGCAGGAGACCGCGGGUUCGAAUCCCGUCAAAGGCUCCG
Molecule: transfer RNA, 78 nt
Filed under: Paenibacillus larvae
Lineage: Bacteria; Bacillati; Bacillota; Bacilli; Caryophanales; Paenibacillaceae
Description: tRNA-Asp
Rfam family: tRNA
About the family: Transfer RNA (tRNA) molecules are approximately 80 nucleotides in length. Their secondary structure includes four short double-helical elements and three loops (D, anti-codon, and T loops).
Source: RNAcentral